GCCAGGUGAGGGGCUGCACACCUGUAAUCCCAGCAGCUCAGGAGGCUGAGGCAGGAGGAUGGCCAGUUCAGGGCCAGCCUCAGCAACUU
This 89-nucleotide small RNA is filed under the name Marmota monax (woodchuck). The record is from RNAcentral. Lineage: Eukaryota; Metazoa; Chordata; Mammalia; Rodentia; Sciuridae.